Molecule: ribosomal RNA, 200 nt
Filed under: uncultured prokaryote
Description: partial 16S ribosomal RNA
Rfam family: Bacterial small subunit ribosomal RNA
Source: RNAcentral
GGUCAAAUCAUCAUGCCUCUUACAUCUAGGGCUACAGGCGUGCUACAAUGGCUGGUACAACGAGUCGCUACACAGCAAUGUGAUGCAAAUCUCUUAAAGCCAGUCUCAGUUCGGAUUGGAGUCUGCAACUCGACUCCAUGAAGUUGGAAUCGCUAGUAAUCCCGAAUCAGAAUGUCGGGGUGAAUACGUUCUCGGGUGUU